AAAGUCAAAUAUUUCGCUGGCCGACGAAAAUAAGUUUCUCUUCAUCAAUUACUAUGACCACGUUUGAGAGUGGAACAGUAACUCAUCACAAACAUUUUUUUAUCCCUUUCCUAAGUGUGUCAGACAUGUAUUCUGAGAUGAGUGAUACGCAGCUGGACGCCCUGGUGCUGGAGAUCCACAGGAUCCAUCUGUGUGGAUACCGAAUGUUGCGAUACCAUCUCCAGGGAAGAGGCCAUCUGGUCCAAAUUCACAGAGUACGCCAAUCCUUAAAAAGAGUGGACCCAGAGGGCACAGAACAAAGAGCCCUGGCCAACCGAACUCUACAUAGGCGGCAAUAUUCAGUUCCUGGGCCCAACUGUAUGUGGCAUAUUGAUGGCAAUCACAAAUUAAUACGAUGGAGAUUUGUUAUCCACGGUGGGAUAGAUGGCUUCAGCCGCCUAGUGGUGUUCUUGUCAGCAGCCACCAACAACCGUACCACAACAGUGCUGGAUGCUUUUCUUGGAGCGGUCAGGCAGUACGGUGUGCCAUCUCGUGUCCGAGAGAGAACUUUGAGGUGGCAUAUUAAAUGGUGGACAACUGCGGACCCAACCGCAAUUCCCACAUAACUGGGAGGAGUGUGCAUAAUCAAAGAAUUGAGCGACUUUGGAGAGAUGUUUACACACAAGUGCUCGAUCUCUUCCACACUCUCUUCCACGAAAUGGAAGCAUCAUGGAUGUUGAAUCCAGACAGUGAGAUCCACCUCUUCGCUCUCCACUGGGUUUUCCUGUCAUUGGUCCAGAGCCAUCUCAGGCAUUUCCAAGAUGCCUGGAAUUUUCACAGCCUGAGGACUGAAAAUAGCCAGUCACCCUACCAGCUGUGGCUACGCAACAUAAGUGCUGUUGCUGAUCCCCCAGAGGUUGACGAUCUUUAUGGUGCCAGUGUAGAUGGUCCGGACCUGGAAGACCUGGCUGGAGUCGACAUUCCGGAGAUCCAACUACCACGUGACCUGACUGCUGAGGAGCUCUCACGAUUGCCUCAGCGAAAUGUUUCACUGAAUGACGCUAUUGCUGUUUACAGCUCAGUUGUUGAGCAGUUACAUGACAUCUUUCAAACAGCAUGAUGUUCUCUCCAAGGAUUUGUAAAUAUUUGUUAAUAUUUGUAAAUAUAUAUGAAUCUACCUUCCCCUUUAAA
Gadus macrocephalus (Pacific cod) is the source of this 1170-nucleotide long non-coding RNA. RefSeq lists it as uncharacterized. Lineage: Eukaryota; Metazoa; Chordata; Actinopteri; Gadiformes; Gadidae. The record is from RefSeq and is a predicted model, not a curated record. The transcript is spliced from 5 exons.